Molecule: ribosomal RNA, 301 nt
Filed under: uncultured bacterium
Lineage: Bacteria
Description: partial 16S ribosomal RNA
Rfam family: Bacterial small subunit ribosomal RNA
Source: RNAcentral
CAGUCGCCGCGGUGAUACGUAGGGGGCAAGCGUUGUCCGGAAUCAUUGGGCGUAAAGCGCGUGUAGGCGGCUCGAUAAGUCUGCUGUGAAAGUUCAGGGCUCAACCCUGAAAUGCCGGUGGAAACUGUCGAGCUUGAGUCCGGAAGAGGCAAGUGGAAUUCCUGGUGUAGCGGUGAAAUGCGCAGAUAUCGGGAGGAACACCAAUGGCGAAGGCAGCUUGCUGGGACGGUACUGACGCUGAGACGCGAAAGCGUGGGGAGCAAACAGGAUUAGAUACCCCUGUAGUCCCUGUCUCUUAUAC